Non-coding RNA from Acanthosepion pharaonis, 114 nucleotides. NCBI's taxonomy places the organism in Eukaryota, Metazoa, Mollusca, Cephalopoda, Sepiida, Sepiidae. The record is from the annotation of a GenBank genome assembly.
UUACGGUCAUAUCACGUUGAAACACUGGCACCCGUACGAUCACCGAAGGUGAGCAAUGUCGAGCCAGGUCAGUAGUUAGAUGGUUAACCGCUUGGGAGGACCAGAUGCCGUAUG